RNAcentral lists this unclassified non-coding RNA (378 nucleotides) under plant metagenome. RNAcentral's name for it is "partial contains 5.8S ribosomal RNA, internal transcribed spacer 2, and large subunit ribosomal RNA". The stretch from base 1 to 105 matches the Rfam family "5.8S ribosomal RNA", at positions 50 to 154 of the family's 154-position model. The record is from RNAcentral.
GAAAUGCGAUACGUAAUAUGAAUUGCAGAAUUCAGUGAAUCAUCGAAUCUUUGAACGCACCUUGCGCUCCUUGGUAUUCCUUGGAGCAUGCCUGUUUGAGUAUCAUGAAAUCUUCAAAGUGAAUCUUUUGUUAACUCAAUUGGUUUCUACUUUGGUAUUGGAGGUCUUUGCAGCUUCACACCUGCUCCUCUUUGUUCAUUAGCUGGAUCUCAGUGUUAUGCUUGGUUCCACUCGGCGUGAUAAGUUAUCUAUCGCUGAGGACACUGUAAAAGGUGGCCAAGGUAAAUGCAGAUGAACCGCUUCUAAUAGUCCAUUGACUUGGACAAUACUUUUAUGAUCUGAUCUCAAAUCAGGUAGGACUACCCGCUGAACUUAAGC